Humulus lupulus (European hop) is the source of this 799-nucleotide long non-coding RNA. RefSeq lists it as uncharacterized. NCBI's taxonomy places the organism in Eukaryota, Viridiplantae, Streptophyta, Magnoliopsida, Rosales, Cannabaceae. The record is from RefSeq and is a predicted model, not a curated record. The transcript is spliced from 3 exons.
UUUCUAAUAAGUAUUACCAAUCAUCAUGUACUUUGCUGUUGUGAUACCUAAUACGUUAUUUUGUACAAUUUUCUCUUGGGGAGGGGGUUCUCUAGGUAAUAAUAAUAAUGACUUCUAUGAAACUUCCAGAGCAAUAUUCUUUGCAAGAGCUCCUGCUUUUUCAAAGUAACUGUUUUAUAACUCUACCAAACAUAUUCCAUGGCUCUAGUAGAACAAUUGUUCCCACAGAGGGCCUCCUAAAACCAGCAAUCUUACCAAAUAGAGUUGAUAGGCUGAGGAAGUGGUAAAGGUCAUGAAAAGUUAAUACAAAAUAAUAUGUACCUUUAAUCUUAAUUUAUAGGAAUGCUGAUCUAGACUAAACCCAACUUUGGGUCUUUCUUUUUCUUUUUCUUUUUUUUAAGGGGAACCCAACUUUGGGUCUGCUUUACACUAAACACGUAUAAAAUUACCAAUUAUACUCACUGGGUUUUGAUUGUAUGCAGACACAAAUUCUCACUCAAGUAGAAAGUGCUUCUAUAUUUUACUAAUGCUUGUAGUGUGUCAUCUAUGAGCAUGCCCGUAAGGCUGAAAUUUUUGUACAGGGGAAAUUGGUAGAUCCCCAGCGCAAAAAGAGCAAAGCAAGUUUACGGAAGCUUGAUGAGCAGCCUGAAUGGUUGAGGGGAGGAAAGCUGCAUGAUUAUCAGCUUGAGGGUCUGAAUUUUCUUGUUAAUAGUUGGCGAAAUGAUACUAAUGUUAUUUUAGCUGAUGAGAUGGGUCUUGGUAAAACUGUUCAGUCAGUAUCAAUGCUUGGGUUUUUACA